RNAcentral lists this long non-coding RNA (2069 nucleotides) under Sus scrofa (pig). RNAcentral describes it as "lncRNA (ENSSSCG00050059412.1)". Lineage: Eukaryota; Metazoa; Chordata; Mammalia; Artiodactyla; Suidae. The record is from RNAcentral.
CCACUUGGCGAUCCCGUCAGGCAGGCCAUGGCUGCCGUGCCUUGCAGGGAACAGCAGCACAGGAAGCCCAGGAGCCGGGAAGCCCAAGCUGCACCCGCAGUACAUGAAGUUUACAGGCAAGGAGUCGAAUCGGAGCUGUAGCUGCUAGCCUGUGCCAUAGCCACAGCAACUCGGGAUCCAAGCUGAAUCUGCAAUCUAUACCACAGCUCACGGCCCGCAACACGGGAUCCUUAACCCACUAAGCAGGGCCAGGGAUCGAACCCAGGUCCUCAUGGAUACCAGCCAAGUUUGUUUGUUUGUUUGGUCUUUUGUCUUUUUAGGGCCGAACCCAAAGCAUAUGGGGGUUCCCAGGCUAGGGGCUGAAUCGGAGCUACAGCUGCUGGCCUACACCACAGCCACAGCAACGCAGGAUCGGAGCCAUGUCUGUGACCUACACUGACAGCUCAUGGCAACGCCGGAUCCUUAAUCCACUGAGCGAGGCCGGGGAUCGAACCCUCAACCUCAUGGUUCCUAGUCGGGUUUGUUAACCACUGAGCCACAAUGGGAACUCCCUGAGCUUACCAUUCUAGAUUAUCUUCCAGGCUCUGGGAUAUGGAAUUCCCUGCCCAAAAGGUCCUGAGCCCACUCCCAAGACCUGGGUCUGUCCACCCAAGGGACUGUGCUACUGGUGUGUGCAAGCUAGCCUGCGAGGCGGAAAAGGAAGCCGUUUGCGGGGUGGGGGAGAGGUGUGCCUGAGAGCUUGGACACGGGGCCUGGUUCACGGGGCUGCACACAAGGACUCUGCGGUGGGGAGGAAACAGUGGGGAGAGGAGGAACCCGGCAGGUGGACUGCCUUUGAGAUCUUGCCCCGGGCUGCACACGUGAGGGGUGAUCUGCCCUAUGGAGGGACCAUUGCCAGGGAAGUCCCAGGGUGUUAGUUAGACGCUUUGAUCCAAUGAUGGACCAGUUUUGCCUGUAGAUUCCCAGAUCCCCACCCGCCGCGGAAAAUCAUAUUCCUGAGUCUGGGAGAAGAUCUUGGAAUUUCCACGUCUAACAAAGAUGGCCAGAGGCCAUGCUGGUGCUCUGUGUUCAGAAACCUGUUUAAUUCUCCCAAUAACCCUGCAAAGGAGGUAGCCAGGAGGACACAGGCUGGCGAGGAGACCUGCCUAAGACUUCAGAGCUGCUGUAGGACAGAACUGCGACAGGUCACCGUCCUGCCAUGUCUACUUCCUUGACAGCCGAGAAUCAGUCCCCGCCUUCCACUGACCUUGGAUGGAAGGUCGUCCCCUGUUCAGGAUUCAUCAUCUCUUACAAAGACCGCUGGCCCCUCCAAGCCACUGAAUAUGUGGCAGCCGGAGUGAUGUCUAGGAAAACAAGGGACAUGUCAUGCCUUGUUGACACUCUUCAGUGGCUCCAGUCGCAGUGCCCUUCGACUAAAAGCCAAACUCCGAGUUAUCUUUUGGUGCCGUGGAUGAAGGAGCCAGUGUUGUCACUGCAGCAGCUUAGGUCGCUGCUGUGGUGUGGCAUGGGAGUGAAAAAAAACCCUCAAAAAACAAAAAGCCAAACUCUUCUGCACUCUCCAGCAGCACUGAGAGGCUUUGUAAGUCCUCCGAAUUUCUGCUACUUUUCACUUCUAUGCCUUUUUUUUCUUUUUGUCUUUUUUUAGGGCCCCACUGGUGGCAUAUAGAGGUUCCCAGGCUAGGGGUCGAAUCAGAGCUACAGCUGUCCACCCACACCACAGCCACAGCAACGCGGGAUCCAAGCUGCGUCUUCGACCUACACCACAGAUCUUGGCAACGCCGGAUCCCCAUCCCACCGAGUGAGGCCAGGGAUCGAACCCGCAACCACAUGGUUCUUAGUCGGAUUCAAUUCUGCUGUGCCACGACGAGACCUCCUCACCUCUACGUCUUUACUGCUGCUGUUCCCUCUUCCCUUUGGCUUCCUGGCUAACUGCUACUCCCUAAGAUUCCAACCAGCCUGGCCUCCUCUGGGAAGUCCAGGCUGGGUUAGGCCUCCUACUCUGGGCUCCAAAAGUCUCUCUUCCUGCACUUGCCCCCUGCAGUAAUAAUAAUAGCUGAUAGUUUCUGAGU